This 61-nucleotide transfer RNA is filed under the name Strombidium rassoulzadegani. Its description in RNAcentral is "partial Selenocysteine transfer RNA". Lineage: Eukaryota; Ciliophora; Spirotrichea; Strombidiidae. The record is from RNAcentral.
CCACCUUUGGUUUGAAGACCGGCGGCCGCAUCGAGUCCAUCUUGAUGUCCCUCCCUCUCAC